This 378-nucleotide unclassified non-coding RNA is filed under the name soil metagenome. Its description in RNAcentral is "partial contains 5.8S ribosomal RNA, internal transcribed spacer 2, and large subunit ribosomal RNA". The stretch from base 1 to 120 matches the Rfam family "5.8S ribosomal RNA", at positions 35 to 154 of the family's 154-position model. The record is from RNAcentral.
GAUGAAGAACGCAGCGAAAUGCGAUAAGUAGUGUGAAUUGCAGAUUUCAGUGAAUCAUCGAAUCUUUGAACGCACAUUGCGCCCUUUGGUAUUCCGAAGGGCAUGCCUGUUCGAGCGUCAUUAUCACCCCUCAAGCCCCUUGGCUUGGUGUUGGACGGCUGGCGAUGACCUCCGGGUCGUCGCCCCUCCCAAAGACAAUGACGGCGGCCUCGUUGGACCCCCGGUACACUGAGUUCUUCACGGGACACGUACUGGAUCAAGGGUGCGCGGAGCACGGUCUUAACCAUUUCACCCCUCGCGGGCGGAAUAAUUUUUCUAGGUUGACCUCGGAUCAGGUAGGGAUACCCGCUGAACUUAAGCAUAUCAAUAAGCGGAGGA